Molecule: long non-coding RNA, 527 nt
Filed under: Volvox carteri
Lineage: Eukaryota; Viridiplantae; Chlorophyta; Chlorophyceae; Chlamydomonadales; Volvocaceae
Description: long non-coding RNA (VCAR_LNC003535)
Source: RNAcentral
AACACAAGGUCCAAGCUCUGCUGGACCGCAAAAGGGCGACAGCGCCGAACCGGAGGCCGUUUAGGACCGAAGGAAAGCAACAAGCACGUGCGUAGCAACCUGUCGUCCGAUCAAGGGAGGACGGUCGGCCUCGACCAAACGCAUGAGCUCUUCGCAACUUACAAUCGGCCACGGGCUUCCAAACGUCGGAGCCUAAGGCUGGCACCUGGGAAAAGCUCCUACUUUGCCCAUGGCUUGCCUUUGACCUCUGAAGUACUGAACGGAACGCCAGCACGCCCUCUGUUUGUUACCUCUUUUGCCAGGGGUUUCACCACGCACGCUACAUGUUCAGCACUCCACGCAUGCUUAGCUUCAGGCUACCGAUUGAACUGUGAAAGGAACGAAGAAGAACUUCUUGUGACCAGCAGUUUUAUGCAUAAAGUCGCGGGGCAGUACCAGAUAGACAAGGGACAGCGGGUAGCCUAUUUGUGUGUCAUCCUGCCUUUCUGGGGGAGUACUGGACCCAUGGCACUGGCAUUCGGUAUUUG